ACCUUCCAGUGUCUUUACCCACUGGAUCUAAACCCUGAUCUGGGCGGUUAUAAGUUGAGGAAAAGUAAAAUGGAAACCAAAAUGGACUUCAAUGCGUUUGUGGCACCUGAGCUAGUUUCAAACAUUA
RNAcentral lists this small nucleolar RNA (127 nucleotides) under Echinops telfairi (small Madagascar hedgehog). RNAcentral describes it as "Small nucleolar RNA SNORA61 (ENSETEG00000025114.1)". The record is from RNAcentral. Lineage: Eukaryota; Metazoa; Chordata; Mammalia; Afrosoricida; Tenrecidae.